Molecule: ribosomal RNA, 643 nt
Filed under: Lernaeopoda sp. ET-2017
Lineage: Eukaryota; Metazoa; Arthropoda; Copepoda; Siphonostomatoida; Lernaeopodidae
Description: SSU rRNA
Rfam family: Eukaryotic small subunit ribosomal RNA
Source: RNAcentral
CAGCAGCCGCGGUAAUUCCAGCUCCAAUAGCGUAUAUUAAAGUUGUUGCGGUCAAAAAGCUCGUAGUUGGAUCUCGGCAGGUUGGGGGCGGUUCAUUAUUUAAUGUUUACUGCUCCAUUAACUUGCGUUUUUUGACAGAGGUUCUGGGGUGCUCUUGAUUGAGUGUCCCAGGAUGCUGUCAGGUUUACUUUGAAAAAAUUAGAGUGCUCAAAGCAGGCUUUACACGCUUGAAUAUUGGUGCAUGGAAUAAUAGAAUAGGAUGUUGUGUCCUUUUUGUUGGUUGUAGGAUAUUAACAUAAUGAUUAAUAGGGACAGUCGGGGGCAUUAGUAUUCAGACGACAGAGGUGAAAUUCUUGGACCGUUUGAAGACUAACUACUGCGAAAGCAUUUGCCAAGAAUGUUUUCAUUAAUCAAGAACGAAAGUUAGAGGUUCGAAGGCGAUCAGAUACCGCCCUAGUUCUAACCAUAAACGAUGCCAGCUAGCGAUCCGCUUGCGUUUCUUAUAAGGCCCUGCGGGAAGCUUCCGGGAAACCAAAGCUUUUGGGUUCCGGGGGAAGUAUGGUUGCAAAGCUGAAACUUAAAGGAAUUGACGGAAGGGCACCACCAGGAGUGGAGCCUGCGGCUUAAUUUGACUCAACACGGG